RNAcentral lists this long non-coding RNA (387 nucleotides) under Nicotiana benthamiana. RNAcentral's name for it is "long non-coding RNA (NBEN_LNC006011)". The record is from RNAcentral. Lineage: Eukaryota; Viridiplantae; Streptophyta; Magnoliopsida; Solanales; Solanaceae.
CUCAGAAGUUAUAGCACAUUGGAAGCGUAUAAUGAUGCCCUCUCGAAAGGAAGUAAAAAUGGAGGUGUUGGUGCAAUUGUUGAUGAACUACCUUAUCUCAGACUCUUCCUCAACAAGUACUGCGGGAAGUAUAUAAUGAUCGGCCCAACAUACAAAACCACCGGCUUUGGAUUCGUAAGAUUCUUGUGCUCCAGUGAUGUUUUAAAUGGUUUGUAGUUUACUCAAUCUAAUCCAUAUUUUUGGAAGUAUAUUAUGGUCGGUCCGACUUACAAGACUUCUGGCUUUGGAUUCGUAAGAUUCUCUCUGCAUCAUUUAAUUGGAAAUGUUCCAUACCUGAAGUUAUACUACCAGUAGUAGUUUACUUAAUCUAUUCCAUUCUUUUCUCCA